Molecule: ribosomal RNA, 379 nt
Filed under: uncultured bacterium
Lineage: Bacteria
Description: bacterial SSU rRNA
Rfam family: Bacterial small subunit ribosomal RNA
Source: RNAcentral
UUUUGGACAAUGGGCGAAAGCCUGAUCCAGCAAUGCCGCGUGUGUGAAGAAGGUCUUCGGAUUGUAAAGCACUUUCGACAGGGACGAUGAUGACGGUACCUGUAGAAGAAGCCCCGGCUAACUUCGUGCCAGCAGCCGCGGUAAUACGAAGGGGGCUAGCGUUGCUCGGAAUGACUGGGCGUAAAGGGCGCGUAGGCGGAUGGUACAGUCAGAUGUGAAAUUCCUGGGCUUAACCUAGGGACUGCAUUUGAUACGUAUGAUCUAGAGUGAGGAAGAGGGUCGUGGAAUUCCCAGUGUAGAGGUGAAAUUCGUAGAUAUUGGGAAGAACUCCGAUGGCGAAGGCGGCGACCUGGUCCUUUACUGACGCUGAGGCGCGAAG